RNAcentral lists this ribosomal RNA (1379 nucleotides) under uncultured bacterium. RNAcentral describes it as "partial 16S ribosomal RNA". It matches the Rfam family "Bacterial small subunit ribosomal RNA", at positions 41 to 1378 of the family's 1533-position model. The record is from RNAcentral.
GGCGUGCCUAACACAUGCAAGUCGAACGGAGUUAUUAUUCAGAAGUUCUUCUGGAUGGAAGGAUGAUAACUUAUGGGCGGACGGGUGAGUAACGCGUGGGUAACCUGCCCUUUUGGGGGGAACAACUUCCAGAAAUCGGAGCUAUUCCCGCUUAAUAAUAUAGGAUCCCUUGAUUCUUUUGCGAAAGAUGGCCUCUGAAGAUGCUAUCUCAAAACGAUGGACCCGCGUCUGAUUAUCUCGUUGGAAGGGUGACAGCCUACCAAGGCAGCAAUCAAUAGCCGGCCUGAGAGGGUGAACGGACACAUUGGGACUGAUACUCCGGCCAGACUCCUACGGGAGGCUUGAGUGGGGAAUCUUCCGCUGUGGGCGAAAGCCUGACGGAGCAAUGCCGCGUGAGUGAAGAAGGCCUUCUGGUUGUAAGACUCUGUCCUUAUCCAAGAGAGGUAGGUAUGUGAAUAAUGUACCUCUAGGACGGUACAUACAGGAGGACGCCCCUGCUAACUACUUGCCAGCAUUCCGUGGUAGUACGUGGGGGGCGAGCGUUGUUCGGAAUCACUGGGCGUAAAGGGCGCGUCGGCGGUUUAAUUGGUCUGGGGUGAGAACUGAUGGCUCGACCCUCAGCCUGCCACUGAUACUGUGUGACUUGAGUAUGGAAGAGGAGAACGGAAUUCCUAGUGUAGCGGUGAAAUGAGUAGAUAUUAGGAGGAACACCAGUCGCGAAGGCGAUUGUAUGGGCCAAGACUGACGGUGAGGCGGGAAAGCGUGGGGAGCAAACAGGCUUAGAUACCUUGGUAGUCCAUGCCGUCAACGAUGGAUAGUAGGUGUUAGUAGUUUGUAUGAUACCAGUGCCGGAGCAAACACAACAAGUAUCCUGCCUGGGGAGGACGGUGGCAAGAAUGAAACUCAAAGGAAUAGACGGGGGCCCGCACAACCGGUGGAGCAUGUGGUUUAAUUAGACGCAACGAGAAGAACCUCACCUGAUCUUGACAUCCUGAUGGCCGGGGCUUAAUAGUCCCUUCUUUUCGGUGCAUGGGAGACAGGUGGUGCAUGGCAGUGGUCAGCUCGUGUCGUGUGAUGUGGGGUUAAGUCCCGCAACGAGCGCAACCCUUACUUUUAGUUGCCAGCAGUAAGAUGGGGACUCUAGAGAGACUGCCAGUGACAAACUGGAGGAAGGUGGGGAUGACGUCAAAUCAUCAUGCCCCUUAUGUCUUGGGCCACACACGUGCUACAAUGGUCAGAACCGAGGGAAGGGAAGCCCCGAGGGGGAGCAAAUCCCAGAAAACCGAUCUCAGUUCGGAUUGCAGGCUGCAACCCGCCUGCAUGAAGUCGGAAUCGCUAGUAAUCGCGGGUCAGCAUACCGCGGUGAAUACGUUCCCGGG